Molecule: long non-coding RNA, 554 nt
Organism: Eupeodes corollae
Lineage: Eukaryota; Metazoa; Arthropoda; Insecta; Diptera; Syrphidae
Exons: 2
Source: RefSeq, a predicted model, not a curated record
AUGAAUAAAAGCUAAAAUUCCAGUUCAGUUGUUGACUGGCUUCCGAUCGAGAAGGUUGUAUUUGUUAAUUCGUUGUGACGAAAAAAUAGACAAGUAAUAAAUAAAAACAGUUCUUUUAUUUGCUAUUUCAGCAGUGUUCGGUCAAUCACCAUUGCCCUCGAGAAUUGGUGGUCAACGUCCGCGCUGAUGCAGCACAAAGUACUUGGUGCCUCACUACACCCAUCACCACCCUCAGCCGGACAGCUUCAUAUCACACAUACCAUACUGCCUCGCUAUAUGAUCAGUCGAUUGACAUCAAAAUGUGUCGAAUUAAAUGUGCCAUUGAUUUGUGCUUCAUUUCUGUGCCCGCCAAAGCAGAUACCUACCCACAGCACAGGCACAUACCUAAGUAUACAUAGAGCUAUAGGUGGUGCCUGACUUGGUCGGUCUAUGGUGUGUUCUCUUCUAGUCUUCAACGCGAUCAGUCGUCGGCUGCGCCAAUAAAUACCACUUGGUGGUUCCGUGACUUUUAAAUUAGCCUUGUAAGUCAAUAAAGAAAAAUACCAUAAGCAAAA